GAGUUUGAGGUGAAGAAAGAGAGGCGGAAAUGGUUGUCUGAAACCAUUCUCAUCUGUAUCGAGUGAUGACAGAUUGAGAUGGAAUCGAGAGACAGAGAAGAUCUGAGGUGGAUCGAGUUGGUUGCUGCUGUCGGUUCAUGGCCGGAAUUAAGGGUUUUGAUGGUUGAAUCUGGUGGUCUGAACAAGAAAGGAGGAAUUGAUGAUUAAAUUAGCUAGGGUUUCUGUGAGCUAAUGGGUCUGUGAUUAAACAGGGAAGAUUAGGAGUUAUUGAUGCUAUUUCAGUCGAUCGAGAAAGGAAUUAGGCCAUGGAAGGUUAGGGUUUACUGAAGGUGGAGGAAUUCAUGACUGUUGAUGAAGGUUAACGAAGAAGUCAGAGAUUCGAGAUGGGGUUUUGAGUUAAUUCGAGUUUUGAGUUGUUGAUAAAGAAGAAUCAGAAGCAUCUGGGAGUUCAGAGAGAAACUAGGAUUGCAGUUUGGGGGCUGGUUGAUGAUUGAAAGAGAGUUACACAUAAGACUUGAGAGAUGUACUGAUGGCAGUGAAGAAGAUUUGGCUGAAGAAUGCAUGAGUUACAAAUCUGUGGAGAUUCUAUGGAUGAAUUUGUUGUUGAGAUUGAAGGACUGAAUUGUGAAUGUAGAUAAAUGUCAGGACAGGUACAAGUUACAGAGUAGAGGAUUUGCAGUGACUGAGCAUGGUCCGUGCUAUUGCAGAAAUGGAUUAUGAAGUUGCAACUGAGCUGUAGGUUUGAUGGUUGAGCAAUGAAGUGAGCUGAAUUGCAGGUAUAUGCAUUGGUGAUUGAGUUGGGUGUAUAUGAUGCUGCGAUCGCAGGUGCAGCUGAAAUGGCAUGAGCUUGUAAUGAAGCUACGGAUGCUGAGAGAAUGGAACUGAUGGUGUUACGGAAUUGCGGGUGCAUCUCAAGGAGGAUUUGUGGUGGUACGUCAAUAAAGGUGGAGUUGAAGCAUAGGUGGAGAUGUAUGGAUUACAAGAGGAAUGGAAUUGAAAUAGGUGUUGAUGCUAGUUCAGAAGUGGAUGUAGAUGUUAUUGGUAAAAUGGUAGAGCUGCAGUUACAGGUGGAAGUGUUGGUGGUUAUAACUUAUGGUGAUGCAGUGAGCUGAGUUGCAGGUGGAGGUUAUGAUUACAGGCUUGUGAAGUUAUGUUGUGAAGCUGGUGGUCAUGUGUGUAAAUGGAAUAGCAGGUGCUGGUGGAUUGCAGGAGCCAAGGAAGGAGAUUUGAGGUUGCAGUUGUCACUGCAAUUGAUGAAACUGCAGGCUAAGCUGUAGAUGUGCUAUUGUUGAUACAAGGAAUCACAGGGAUUGGUGGAAGCUGGCGUUCAAGUGGAGUUAUGGAAUGAAUAAGUUGCAGAAGGAAGCCAGAGAAGGUUCAGAUUGAAAUGCUGCUUGUGGAACUGAUUCAUUUGGGUGCAGUUUAGUUGCAACAGAGGACAAAGAAGAUAAUUAAGAUGUCAUGGAGGAUAUGAAAUGUAACUGCAUUGAGGGGGACUGAGAUGAAGCUACAAGAUGGUAGUGGUGGCUGUCUGGAUUAUCUGAUGUUGCAUAUGUGUAAGGUAGGUCUAGCCAUUAUGGAUGGAAGUGCACUGGUGAUGCACAAUGAUUGUGCAGCACAGUUCAAGCCUAUGCAAUGGUCUUGGCCAACACUAACUCAGACAAGUCAUCCCAGUUAGCUUACUUGACUAGCUAUCUCGGUUCUGACUCAUGGGAUCAGCUUAUUUGAAUCAGUUUUUUCUGAGUGUAACUCACUGAGCUUGACCGGGUUGUCUGACUCGUUUGACCGGUGACCGGGUGGACUUUUCCGGUUACAUGGGCACUUCUCCGGCGACUUCCCGGACCAAUUUCCGGUCACUUUACCAGUUUUCUGGCAACCUCUUUUGGGACAUAUUUUCUACAUGGGUGUUUUCACAUAUGGGCUUGGUGGACAUCUUUGUAUUGGGCUGUGGGCGACCUAGUUUUGAAAAGAGAAAAAGCUACAAAAGAAAAAGUCUUCUACAACUUGGAGGAGCACGUAUUUUCUACUUGGAGUUUUGGAGAGCGGCGACUAGGGUUUGCUUUCGUUUAUUUUUUGCCUUCUUCAUUUCAUUUUUGAUUAUGAUUAUGAUGAACUCAAAAGCUAUGAGUAUCUAAAUACUAUUAUUGGUUAUGGGAUAAAGUUGAUUUCACAACAUGAUAUUGUUUCAAUGAAUUAGUUUUGUCU
Papaver somniferum (opium poppy) is the source of this 2205-nucleotide long non-coding RNA. RefSeq lists it as uncharacterized. The transcript has 2 exons. The record is from RefSeq and is a predicted model, not a curated record. Lineage: Eukaryota; Viridiplantae; Streptophyta; Magnoliopsida; Ranunculales; Papaveraceae.